Small nucleolar RNA from Mangifera indica (mango), 104 nucleotides. The record is from RefSeq and is a predicted model, not a curated record. Lineage: Eukaryota; Viridiplantae; Streptophyta; Magnoliopsida; Sapindales; Anacardiaceae.
AUGUCGUUUUGCACUUGAUCGAAGAAAUUUUUAAACCUUUCCCAAGCUUCAUAUAAAGACUUAUCAUCCAUUUGGUAAAAAGUAGCAAUUUCAUUUCUCAAUUU